AUUGAACGCUGGCGGCAUGCUUUACACAUGCAAGUCGAACGGCAGCGCGGGCUUCGGCCUGGCGGCGAGUGGCGGACGGGUGAGUAAUGCAUCGGAACGUGCCCAGUAGUGGGGGAUAGCCCGGCGAAAGCCGGAUUAAUACCGCAUACGACCUGAGGGUGAAAGCGGGGGACCGAAAGGCCUCGCGCUAUUGGAGCAGCCGAUGUCGGAUUAGCUAGUUGGUGGGGUAAAGGCUUACCAAGGCGACGAUCCGUAGCUGGUCUGAGAGGACGACCAGCCACACUGGGACUGAGACACGGCCCAGACCCCUACGGGAGGCAGCAGUGGGGAAUUUUGGACAAUGGGGGCAACCCUGAUCCAGCCAUGCCGCGUGCGGGAAGAAGGCCUUCGGGUUGUAAACCGCUUUUGUUCGGGAAGAAAUCCUCUGGGCUAAUACCCCGGGGGGAUGACGGUACCGUAAGAAUAAGCACCGGCUAACUACGUG
RNAcentral lists this ribosomal RNA (484 nucleotides) under uncultured bacterium. RNAcentral's name for it is "partial 16S ribosomal RNA". It matches the Rfam family "Bacterial small subunit ribosomal RNA", at positions 28 to 507 of the family's 1533-position model. The record is from RNAcentral.